This 465-nucleotide ribosomal RNA is filed under the name uncultured bacterium. RNAcentral's name for it is "partial 16S ribosomal RNA". It matches the Rfam family "Bacterial small subunit ribosomal RNA", at positions 28 to 507 of the family's 1533-position model. The record is from RNAcentral.
GACGAACGCUGGCGGCGUGCUUAACACAUGCAAGUCGAACGGAAAGGCCCCUUUUGGGGUCCUCGAGUGGCGUACGGGUGAGUAACACGUGCGUAACCUGCCCUUGACUUCGGGAUAACUUCAGGAAACUGGGGCUAAUACCGGAUAGGAAUCCUUGCUGCAUGGUGGGGGUUGGAAAGCUUCGGCGGUUUUGGAUGGACUCGCGGCCUAUCAGCUUGUUGGUGGGGUAGUGGCUUACCAAGGCUUUGACGGGGAGCCGGCCUGAGAGGGCGACCGGCCACAGUGGGACUGGGAUACGGACCAGACUCCGACGGGAGGCAGCAGUGGGGAAUAUUGCACAAUGGGCGGAAGCCUGAUGCAGCAACGGCGCGGGCGGGAUGACGGCCUUCGGGUUGUAAACCGCAUUCAGCAGGGGCGAAGCUUGUGGUGACGGUACCUGCAGAAGAAGCACCGGCUAACUACGUG